RNAcentral lists this ribosomal RNA (500 nucleotides) under uncultured bacterium. RNAcentral's name for it is "partial 16S ribosomal RNA". It matches the Rfam family "Bacterial small subunit ribosomal RNA", at positions 29 to 523 of the family's 1533-position model. The record is from RNAcentral.
AUUGAACGCUGGCGGCAUGCCUUACACAUGCAAGUCGAACGGCAGCACGGGUGCUUGCACCUGGUGGCGAGUGGCGAACGGGUGAGUAAUACAUCGGAACGUACCUUAUCGUGGGGGAUAACGCAGCGAAAGCUGUGCUAAUACCGCAUACGCCCUGAGGGGGAAAGCGGGGGAUCGCAAGACCUCGCGCGAUUAGAGCGGCCGAUGCCUGAUUAGCUAGUUGGUGGGGUAAAAGCCCACCAAGGCGACGAUCAGUAGCUGGUCUGAGAGGACGGUCAACGACGCUGGGACUGAGACACGGCCCACGCUCCUACGGGAGGCAGCAGUGGGGAAUGUUGGACAAAGGGGCAACCCUGAUCAAGCAAUGCCGCGUGAGUGAAGAAGGCCUUCGGGUUGUAAAGCUCUUUUGUCAGGGAAGAAACACCGGCUCUAACACAGUCCGGGAAUGACGGUACCUGAAGAAUAAGCACCGGCUAACUACGUGCCAGCAGCCGCCGCGG